This 105-nucleotide microRNA precursor is filed under the name Canis lupus dingo (dingo). RNAcentral's name for it is "mir-8834 microRNA precursor family". It matches the Rfam family "mir-8834 microRNA precursor family". Lineage: Eukaryota; Metazoa; Chordata; Mammalia; Carnivora; Canidae. The record is from Rfam by way of RNAcentral.
AGGAGGAACAACCACUUGGCAGCUGCCAGCUCUGGAGCCCUGGAUUCAGCUCCAGCAGUAGCUAUGGAGUUCUUGGUCUGUAGGGCCUGGAUGCUCGGGGGCGGG